CAUGGCGGCAGCUACACAUGCAGUCGAGCGGUAGCACAGAGAGCUUGCUCUCGGGUGACGAGCGGCGGACGGGUGAGUAAUGUCUGGGAAACUGCCUGAUGGAGGGGGAUAACUACUGGAAACGGUAGCUAAUACCGCAUAACGUCGCAAGACCAAAGUGGGGGACCUUCGGGCCUCAUGCCAUCAGAUGUGCCCAGAUGGGAUUAGCUAGUAGGUGGGGUAAUGGCUCACCUAGGCGACGAUCCCUAGCUGGUCUGAGAGGAUGACCAGCCACACUGGAACUGAGACACGGUCCAGACUCCUACGGGAGGCAGCAGUGGGGAAUAUUGCACAAUGGGCGCAAGCCUGAUGCAGCCAUGCCGCGUGUAUGAAGAAGGCCUUCGGGUUGUAAAGUACUUUCAGCGAGGAGGAAGGCGUUAAGGUUAAUAACCUUAGCGAUUGACGUUACUCGCAGAAGAAGCACCGGCUAACUCCGUGCCAGCAGCCGCGGUAAUACGGAGGGUGCAAGCGUUAAUCGGAAUUACUGGGCGUAAAGCGCACGCAGGCGGUCUGUCAAGUCGGAUGUGAAAUCCCCGGGCUCAACCUGGGAACUGCAUUCGAAACUGGCAGGCUAGAGUCUUGUAGAGGGGGGUAGAAUUCCAGGUGUAGCGGUGAAAUGCGUAGAGAUCUGGAGGAAUACCGGUGGCGAAGGCGGCCCCCUGGACAAAGACUGACGCUCAGGUGCGAAAGCGUGGGGAGCAAACAGGAUUAGAUACCCUGGUAGUCCACGCCGUAAACGAUGUCGACUUGGAGGUUGUGCCCUUGAGGCGUGGCUUCCGGAGCUAACGCGUUAAGUCGACCGCCUGGGGAGUACGGCCGCAAGGUUAAAACUCAAAUGAAUUGACGGGGGCCCGCACAAGCGGUGGAGCAUGUGGUUUAAUUCGAUGCAACGCGAAGAACCUUACCUACUCUUGACAUCCAGAGAACUUAGCAGAGAUGCUUUGGUGCCUUCGGGAACUCUGAGACAGGUGCUGCAUGGCUGUCGUCAGCUCGUGUUGUGAAAUGUUGGGUUAAGUCCCGCAACGAGCGCAACCCUUAUCCUUUGUUGCCAGCGGUCCGGCCGGGAACUCAAAGGAGACUGCCAGUGAUAAACUGGAGGAAGGUGGGGAUGACGUCAAGUCAUCAUGGCCCUUACGAGUAGGGCUACACACGUGCUACAAUGGCAUAUACAAAGAGAAGCGACCUCGCGAGAGCAAGCGGACCUCAUAAAGUAUGUCGUAGUCCGGAUUGGAGUCUGCAACUCGACUCCAUGAAGUCGGAAUCGCUAGUAAUCGUAGAUCAGAAUGCUACGGUGAAUACGUUCCCGGGCCUUGUACACACCGCCCGUCACACCAUGGGAGUGGGUUGCAAAAGAAGUAGGUAGCUUAACCUUCGGAGGCGCUACCACUUG
RNAcentral lists this ribosomal RNA (1429 nucleotides) under Klebsiella aerogenes. RNAcentral describes it as "bacterial SSU rRNA". It matches the Rfam family "Bacterial small subunit ribosomal RNA". Lineage: Bacteria; Pseudomonadati; Pseudomonadota; Gammaproteobacteria; Enterobacterales; Enterobacteriaceae. The record is from RNAcentral.